GAUGAACGCUGGCGGCGUGCCUAAUACAUGCAAGUCGAGCGAACGGACGAGAAGCUUGCUUCUCUGAUGUUAGCGGCGGACGGGUGAGUAACACGUGGAUAACCUACCUAUAAGACUGGGAUAACUUCGGGAAACCGGAGCUAAUACCGGAUGAUAUUUUGAACCGCAUGGUUCAAAAGUGAAAAACGUUCUUGCUGUCACUUAUAGAUGGAUCCGCGCUGCAUUAGCUAGUUGGUAAGGUAACGGCUUACCAAGGCAACGAUGCAUAGCCGACCUGAGAGGGUGAUCGGCCACACUGGAACUGAGACACGGUCCAGACUCCUACGGGAGGCAGCAGUAGGGAAUCUUCCGCAAUGGGCGAAAGCCUGACGGAGCAACGCCGCGUGAGUGAUGAAGGUCUUCGGAUCGUAAAACUCUGUUAUUAGGGAAGAACAUAUGUGUAAGUAACUGUGCACAUCUUGACGGUACCUAAUCAGAAAGCCACGGCUAACUACGUG
Molecule: ribosomal RNA, 497 nt
Filed under: uncultured bacterium
Lineage: Bacteria
Description: partial 16S ribosomal RNA
Rfam family: Bacterial small subunit ribosomal RNA
Source: RNAcentral